CUAGAGUUUGAUCCUGGCUCAGGAUGAACGCUGGCGGCGUGCCUAACACAUGCAAGUCGAACGGAGAGUUUUUGAUGAAGCUUCGGCGGAAUUGAAGAUUUCUUAGUGGCGGACGGGUGAGUAACGCGUGGGUAACCUGCCUUAUACAGGGGGAUAACAGUCAGAAAUGACUGCUAAUACCGCAUAAGCGCACAGGACCGCAUGGUCCGGUGUGAAAAGCCGAGACGGUAUAAGAUGGACCCGCGUCUGAUUAGCUGGUUGGUGAGGUAACGGCCCACCAAGGCGACGAUCAGUAGCCGGCCUGAGAGGGUGAACGGCCACAUUGGGACUGAGACACGGCCCAGACUCCUGCGGGAGGCAGCAGUGGGGAAUAUUGCACAAUGGGGGAAACCCUGAUGCAGCAACGCCGCGUGAAGGAUGAAGUAUUUCGGUAUGUAAACUUCUAUCAGCAGGGAAGAAGAAGACGGUACCUGACUAAGAAGCCCCGGCUAACUACGUGCCAGCAGCCGCGGUAA
Molecule: ribosomal RNA, 515 nt
Filed under: uncultured bacterium
Lineage: Bacteria
Description: bacterial SSU rRNA
Rfam family: Bacterial small subunit ribosomal RNA
Source: RNAcentral